Molecule: transfer RNA, 91 nt
Filed under: Microvirgula sp. AG722
Lineage: Bacteria; Pseudomonadati; Pseudomonadota; Betaproteobacteria; Neisseriales; Aquaspirillaceae
Description: tRNA-OTHER
Rfam family: Selenocysteine transfer RNA
Source: RNAcentral
GUAGGAAGGCGUCCCCGGUGGGGCGACCGGUCUUCAAAACCGAGUUGGGGCCGCCAGCGGUCCCGGGUGGGUUCGACUCCCAUUUCCUACC